AGCCAGUUGAUGAAGCUUUCUCUUGCAUCGAUACCAAAGAAGAGAUAAAGAAAAAGGAACAUGUCUCCAUAUGAGAACUAAACAAAUUCAUUCCAACUCCGAUGAGCAGAUACAAGAAGCAGAAUUCAUUUGCAAGGCUCGGGUUGUUGAGGUUCUCUGACAGAAUGGUUGGUCUUUUGUUUCAUGCACUGGCUGCAGCAGAAAUCUAGACAAAUCAGGCACUUCUCUAUGUUGCAACCUUUGUGUUAAUGCCCAACGUCACCGGUGUUAUAAAGUGAGAAUUUUAUAAAGUUUUGUAUCGGAAUCAUUGUUUAUUGGAGACCAUUUUUUCUCCAUUGUUCUCGCUAAUAAAAACGUUUAAACAUGUUGAAUUAUCAGUUGAUGAUGGCAAUGACAAUGCUACUUUUGUGGUCUUCGACGGAGAGAUGCCUAAACUCACUAAGAAAGAUGCCGCUACUCUUACUGUCGAUGAGAUAAAUGGUGGUGGGGGCGAGCAGCUCCUGCAGUGUCUAGAAGAACUUGGUGGAAAAAAAUUGUGUUCUAGAUCCGUGUUACCCCGUUCAAUUUCACCCAAAACCACCGCACAUUCACUGUUUCUGGAAUAAGUGACCACAUCGAACCUGAGACUUUCAACACCAAUGAAGCUUCAAUUGUUGGUGUGGAGAGUGGCCAAGCAUCUGCUUCUGCCAGUACUUUUUUUGAAGUGAAUGUAUGAUCCAAAUCCAACCAGUGCUAAAGGGAAGGAUGGUAGCCGCAAAC
Molecule: long non-coding RNA, 759 nt
Organism: Raphanus sativus (radish)
Lineage: Eukaryota; Viridiplantae; Streptophyta; Magnoliopsida; Brassicales; Brassicaceae
Exons: 4
Source: RefSeq, a predicted model, not a curated record